RNAcentral lists this ribosomal RNA (263 nucleotides) under uncultured bacterium. Its description in RNAcentral is "partial 16S ribosomal RNA". It matches the Rfam family "Bacterial small subunit ribosomal RNA", at positions 793 to 1055 of the family's 1533-position model. The record is from RNAcentral.
GUCCACGCUGUAAACGAUGGGAACUAGGUGUGGGAGGUGUCGACUCCUCCCGUGCCGUCGCUAACGCAUUAAGUUCCCCGCCUGGGGAGUACGGCCGCAAGGCUAAAACUCAAAGGAAUUGACGGGGGCCCGCACAAGCAGCGGAGCAUGUGGUUUAAUUCGAUGCAACGCGAAGAACCUUACCUGGGCUUGACAUGUAACUGACCGCCCUGGAAACAGGGUUUUCCUUCGGGACAGUUUCACAGGUGGUGCAUGGCUGUCGU